UGAAUUGUUGACUAAUUGGCAAGUCAUUUAGAUUUGGUCUAAACUAUACACGUUCGAGUCGUGUCUAUUCAA
Non-coding RNA from Lodderomyces oxycetoniae, 72 nucleotides. Lineage: Eukaryota; Fungi; Ascomycota; Pichiomycetes; Serinales; Debaryomycetaceae. The record is from the annotation of a RefSeq genome assembly.